UGCAUCCUCAGAUCGGACUGCAAUAGUCACAGCUGGCUCUGUCUCACCAAAUCUACCCCUUAAACAUGUCAAUUGUACAGCGCAUCUCUUAGUAGGAUCAUAACAGCAUACCAUGUCAGCUGAUUCACAAAACCAGAGGGAUCCCUGUCUGGUUUUGGAAACUGCACAACCAUGGCACACAGCUUCAAAAGAGGGACUCAACAACUGUCCCAAACUACCAGUAACCUGAAAGCUCAGACUCCUUCACACACUGAGAAGAAGGGGAAGGAGAAAAACCUCUUAUGAUGCGAGUCGACUCAGUUGGCCUUGUUCUCAGUAGUGUGGAGAAGCCCUGGCUUCCUUAACCCUAGAACUGACCAUCACUCUGCACUGAUUUAAUAAGAUAAACACACAACCUGUAAUGUUUUUAAAAAGCAGUGUAACCAUCACUGAUUUGACACUACAACCAUCUCACAUGUUGGUUCUCUACUCUCUCUUCUAAAGUAUGCGUCAUCUCAGAAAACACUCUGUACAUUGUGUAGGAAUGUGUGGAUCUAGAAAAGAUUACAGGCUAAUUCACGCUGCCACACUAAUACCUCAAGACAUGACGUACUGCAAAGGGCCAAUUUUCACUUUAAUAACUGAGGUACUGUCCCUGCAGAACUCAUUUCCUUCCAUACAAAGCCUGUUAGCCUUGACACAAUUCAGCCCACAGUAUAAUCUUGCUAUAAGAAAGUUAAGAGUAAAACUCAGUAAUAACACAUUCAACAUAGUGUCAACCUGUGUACUUGACAACCAGGCUUCAUAGUAUCACUGCUGCUGUUCUCAUCACAGACAAUAAGGCAAAUACACCCAAACCGGGUGUACACAAGCCUUUUUUAGAUUCAUCUAAGUCAUCCGUCUCUGCCAGGCUCCCUCCCAAGAACCCAAAUGCACCCCCCGGCUGGUACCGCGUAAACCAGGUCCGACGACAGUGUAAAUAUGAAACUUCCUGAAGUAUCCCCGCAUCAAUGACUGAAUGCUUUGCAGGAGUGGGAUAAAUUCCCCUGCUGGGAGGCCUCCCAACAUCUGGAAAAUCUAAUA
Molecule: long non-coding RNA, 1062 nt
Organism: Monopterus albus (swamp eel)
Lineage: Eukaryota; Metazoa; Chordata; Actinopteri; Synbranchiformes; Synbranchidae
Exons: 2
Source: RefSeq, a predicted model, not a curated record